GCCAAUCAGGCCCGGCACCACCCCUCACGUCACCGCCCAGCCGGGCCCGCAGCCCGGCGCCCCAAGUUUGGGGAAGGCCGAGCUCCAGUCUGUCUGCCAGUUGGCGCCCGAGAUUCGCCCAGGCUGGUGCUCCUCCAGGCUUCCAGAGACCCUCCGGGGCCUCCAGGUCCACGCGUGGAAAGUAAAAGGCCGCCCCUCUUGCGGUGCGCCUGAUGUUGGGGGACUAAGCCUACAGCCUGGGUAGGACUCCAGUGACCUUUUCCAGCCAGAACCAGUUUGUGACUGGGCCUAGACUGGACCACAGCCGGCGUUCCAGUGCUUGGAGAAUUUCCUCGAGGUUCCACGCGCGUCUUGGAAGCCAGAAAAGCAAGGUGUCCAGACGCUGCGCCUUCAACCCGCGCCGCCGCCCAGAAGUGCAGGGCAGACACCUAGGAGCUGAACUCUGACACACACCUUCGGCUCCCCACUACCGGGUGAGGACUUGGCGUCUACGACUCCCGCCGGCCGAAACACCUGGAACCACAGACGCACCUCGGCCCAGCGCCCCUGCUGGCUCGCCAGAGCACUGCAUUCUAAGGAAGAAAGAGAUCCCCUUUACCUGACCAGACCGACCAGACCCGGCAAUUAAGGACACUCCACCUUCAAAUAUGUGCAUUUUUCAGAAGGCUUUCUGAGGAGGAAUUAGCCGAAGGGGAAAGAAAUGUAAAUGCAGGGAUUUCGGGCACCUAGGAGUUCAGCCUUUUCCACUGUGGGCCCUUACUCUGAUCCAAGCUCCGAGCAAAAGAGUAUUUUGCAGCUGGAUGCACUGAGCCACGUGGGUACACGCUUUUAGAAACAGGAAUUCGAAGUCAGACCUGGGAAAAUUUUUAUUUUCAGCCUUCAGACCUUUUUGCUUUUAUGUUGAUCCCAUGAUUCUCCUAAGACUGAAACAUGAAAGUUCAAGAAACCAGUUGGAUUUUGUAUAUUCAUAGAAAAACAAAAAGGAUGCACACUGACUGCUAACCACGGGUAUCCCAAGUGUGGGAUUGGAGUGUGGGAAGGAGGGAGAUGAAUUUUAUACCCUUAUACUGACUCUGCAUUUUGUAUUUUUCCAGUUAUAUUAACUGUCACAAUUUAGAAAGGUAAUAAAACAUUUUUUAA
Molecule: long non-coding RNA, 1140 nt
Organism: Neogale vison (American mink)
Lineage: Eukaryota; Metazoa; Chordata; Mammalia; Carnivora; Mustelidae
Exons: 4
Source: RefSeq, a predicted model, not a curated record